RNAcentral lists this ribosomal RNA (552 nucleotides) under Claraeola sp. A. RNAcentral describes it as "partial 16S ribosomal RNA". The record is from RNAcentral. Lineage: Eukaryota; Metazoa; Arthropoda; Insecta; Diptera; Pipunculidae.
CNGUNUGAACUCAGAUCACGUAAGAAAUUAAAAGUCGAACAGACUUAAAAAUUAAGCUACUACACCUAAUAUUAUCUCUUAAUCCAACAUCGAGGUCGCAAUCUUUUUUAUCAAUAAGAACUUUCCAAAAAAAUUACGCUGUUAUCCCUAAAGUAACUUAAUUUUAUAAUCAAUAAUAAAAGAUCACUAAUUCAUAAAUAAAUGUAUAUAAAACAUUAAAAGUUAAUUAUAUUUCAAUAUCUCCCCAACAAAAUAUAAUAACUAAUUAUAUUAUAAAAAAUCUUAAUAAAUAUAAUUAAUUAUUAUAUAAAGAUUUAUAGGGUCUUCUCGUCUAUUAAAUAAAUUUUAGCUUUUUAACUAAAAAAUAAAAUUCUAAUUUAAAUUUAAAUGAAACAGUUAAUAUUUCGUCCAACCAUUCAUUCCAGCCUUCGAUUANNAANACUAAUGAUUAUGCUACCUUUGNCNCAGUUAAUAUACUGCGGCCAUUUAAUAAAUCAGUGGGCAGGUCAAACUUUAAAUAUAAUUCUAAAAAACNUGUUUUUGUUAAACAGG